GAUCAUGGCUCAGGAUGAACGCUGGCGGCGUGCCUAACACAUGCAAGUCGAACGGGGUUAAGUGAAAUUUCGGAUGGAGCUUAACUUAGUGGCGGACGGGUGAGUAACGCGUGGAUAACCUGCCUCACACUGGGGGAUAGCAGCUGGAAACGGCUGGUAAUACCGCAUAAGACCACAGCACCGCAUGGUGCAGGGGUAAAAGAUUUAUCGGUGUGAGAUGGAUCCGCGUCUGAUUAGCCAGUUGGCGGGUAACGGCCCACCAAAGCGACGAUCAGUAGCCGGCCUGAGAGGGUGAACGGCCGCAUUGGGACUGAGACACGGCCCAAACUCCUACGGGAGGCAGCAGUGGGGAAUAUUGCACAAUGGGCGCAAGCCUGAUGCAGCAACGCCCGCGUGAGUGAAGAAGUAUUUCGGUAUGUAAAGCUCUAUCGGCAGGGAAGAAAGGCCCGAAAGGGAGAUGACGGUACCUGACUAAGAAGCCCCGGCUAACUACGUGCCAGCCGCUGC
This 507-nucleotide ribosomal RNA is filed under the name uncultured bacterium. RNAcentral describes it as "bacterial SSU rRNA". It matches the Rfam family "Bacterial small subunit ribosomal RNA", at positions 15 to 518 of the family's 1533-position model. The record is from RNAcentral.